GAAGCUUUGCAUGGUUUGUCUCUGGCCUUUUCCCGAUGGGUUUUGGUCUGAUGGUGCUACGAACACCAUUAUUGGCGAGUUUCACAGCCAGGUUUCUUACCUCUCACUGGUUUUACGAAACCCUAAUUUCUACCUAAACCUCUUAAUUCUCUGUCUUUUUAACUUACUCCUUUUGUGUUUUACACUACUCUCUACUCGAUCUUUACGAUUGUUCAAGUUUUAAACGUUUUCGUUUCCAUUUUCAAACUAGGGUUUCUGAACCCCUUUUCGAAAUCACUUUAUCUUUCUGAUUUUGAGUACUAUAUGUUUGUGUUUGUAUUAUUUGCUGGUUUGUGUGAUCUUCUGGGUUGUUCUCCGAGUUCUAUGCUUUAAUUUUUGUUGUUAGGGUUCCAACCUUCUACUGUUUCUGUGGUUUCUUGCUUAGGGUUAUCUGAUUUUCAUGCCUAUUGUGUUUUAUAGGUCUAAUUGUUCAUCGUUUACCAAAUAUUCUACUGAUUUUGUGCAUCUCUUCGAAUCCCUGAUUGGUAUAUGUUUUCAUUAGAAGUUUUACACUGAUUUUUUGAAUCACUUACUUAUUCGUGAAAUGCUCUCCUUACUUAGUACUGAUUCCCUGUGACUUUCAAUUUCAUCCGUGAUUCAUGCCUAUUGUGUUUUAUAGGUCUAAUUGUUCAUCGUUUACCAAAUAUUCUGUUGAUUUUGUGCAUCUCUUCGAAUCCCUAAUUGGUAUAUGUUUUCCUUAGAAAUUUUACACUGAUUUUUUGAAUCACUUCCUUAUUCGUGAAAUGCUCUCCUUACUUAGUACUGAUUCCAUGUGACUUUCAAUUUCAUCUGUGAUUCUCUGAACUAAUUUGUAUGUAAAAUAUGGUGUCCUUAAACUUUCCUUACUUGAAAUAUUCUGUAUUCAGUCCUUAUCACAUGCAUCAUACUCUUACUACUCCUAUUAUGGAAAUACCAGUCUUGCAAAUAAUAAUUUCCUUAUUUGAUACAAUUUGUACCUGUUUGAGCUAUGACUCCCUAAUUGAAGGGAGUCCGAGGCUUUAAUUGAUUCUAAUAGGCAUUAUUUCCAAAACAAUGAUCAGUCUAUACGUGUUACCUUAUUUUCCACUUGUUUUCAAAAACUAUAAAUAGUCUACCCUCUCUUUGGCAUAAGAGGACAUUCAGUGUUCUGAACUCUCUCUUACACACAUAAGCAUACUCACUGUUCUCUCUUGUUUCUCUACACAUCCUCUCUCACUUCCCCUGUUGACUACUGAUUACUCAGUCGGCUAAAACCAAGGCUGAGUGAUUUUGGGACUGCUCUACUAUACUGCUGCUCUACUUCUCUGCACACUAUUGCUCUAUAUUGUCUCAUCCUCGACUGGUAUGCCCUCUAUUUGAUUUACACCUCCCAAAACAAUAUGUUUUUAUACAUACUGCACUUUAUCUUAAAUCUUUCAUGCUUCUACUUAUGGUUCUGUUGUCUUCAUUGCAAUUAGCAUGCUUUUUUGCUAAUUCAUUGAUGUGAUCAUCUUUCCUGUAGUUCAUCCUGUCUAUGUUUCCUUUACUUGUUAAUACAUUUCUUCCUUAUCCCCCUAACCCCAAUACGUUAUCAGUCUAUAUUCAUAACCCUUCCUAGCUAUUAAAUAAUCCUGAAUCUCUUUGGGAGGGAGUAUGACUGUUGAAGGCUGAAGUGUUUUCUCUAAUGUCUAUGCUCUUACAUGUGAACUACUUGUCCCCACUUCCCUUUUUCCCUAUUUAUUCUUACUUCCCUGAACUAUAUGUGGUAUUUUGGCUCCGAGAUUGUCAAAAUUGUCACAUUGUUUUCUUUCAAAACUGGUUCUACAUGGACCAUUUUUUUUAAACUGUUUUUCAACUCAAUUUCUUUAAAAACUAUGUCACGCACUCUCACUAAUCCUAGAGUUUAGGUUCUACCCCCUUCGUAUAAGCAUUGCCUUAGGUACCCUUGAGUACUCAUUGAACUUUGAUGCACAAGGCUGGUAAUCCCACACUACACUUGUUCAACAUUUUGGUAGUGUUUGGGUGCUGGUAUUGGCGAAGGAUCUCAAUGGGCCUUUAGGGAGCUUUGUUGCACCCAAACCAUGGCAAAGGUUGUGAAACUCGAAAGAAGUGAGGUUGGAAGAUUGGGCCUGGUUAAAGGCUCCCUAUAGAGUAACUUCUUAUUUUUCUUUACUAAUGUAAUUCAGCUAUCAUGGUUUGUAAUAACUUGUAAACAACUGAUUGGGGCUAUAGUGAAGUUGGGUGGGAUUACGCAUGGUUAGUUUAAGUAAUAGGUAGAAAACAUGUCUAUAGGGCUUUACUUACCUAUUUGUGCAAUAGAAACCAUGUAUAGGACAUGCAUCUUACAUAUAGAAGUCCUGCUCUAGGAUCUUUACUUUCAGAUCAUUAUUAUACUCAUUUCGUCAUCACGAUUAGUAACCAACAAACAACUGUUAUAAAAAAAAUUACUACUGCAUUUAGAGAUCAUGUUUUAAGAGCUUUAUGUGCAUUAGACAUCAUGUUGCUUAGGAUUUUAUUUCAUCUGAGUUGCAAUUGCUGAACACCUCGCCAGUUGUUUAAUUUAAGUUUGAGCUAAACUGCGUCUUCUCUUUAAAAAUUUGGAAUUAGUAUGCACGUUCACAUUUUCAAGUAGGCAAUACAUACGACGCCUAGGCAAGCUUUAGGCCUAAUAAAAAUUGAUUGAUUUUGUUUUAUCAGUUUCAGACUACUCAGCCUCUUUUAACUUUCUGAACUCUGUUUGUCGUUUGCCUUUCUAAAGUUCACUCUUUCUUUGAAAUCUCUCUAUCUGGAAACCAGUUUCACAUUUAUACACUCUCGCUAAUUUUCUGAGUCUCGCCCUUUUAAGUUUUCGAGCUACUAGGUUAUCUUUCUGUCCAGGAACGUGUUAUUUCAAACUGUUGAUUUCAAAUCUCUACUUUCUUCAAACGAUGUUUUAACAAUUGUCUUACCUUUUACUUACUCAACUGUUGCCCUGUUAGAUGUAUUUCUGCAAGUCAAACAUUCAUCGCGCCAUUCAGGUUUUUUUUUUGAUUAAACCUUCUGCUUUCACUGAAGCUUAUCUUUUUCCGGCAUUCCUGUUUUUUUUUAAACUCUUAUCUUUAAGACCUUAAAUGUGUUUGAGACGUGCU
Molecule: long non-coding RNA, 3125 nt
Filed under: Nicotiana tabacum (common tobacco)
Lineage: Eukaryota; Viridiplantae; Streptophyta; Magnoliopsida; Solanales; Solanaceae
Description: long non-coding RNA (NTAB_LNC002869)
Source: RNAcentral